GACGAACGCUGGCGGCGUGCUUAACACAUGCAAGUCGAACGCUGAAGCUCAGCUUUUGUUGGGUGGAUGAGUGGCGAACGGGUGAGUAACACGUGAGUAACCUGCCCCCUUCUUUGGGAUAACGCCCGGAAACGGGUGCUAAUACUGGAUAUUCACUGGUCUUCGCAUGGGGGUUGGUGGAAAGGGUUUUUCUGGUGGGGGAUGGGCUCGCGGCCUAUCAGCUUGUUGGUGGGGUGAUGGCCUACCAAGGCUUUGACGGGUAGCCGGCCUGAGAGGGUGACCGGUAACAUUGGGACUGAGAUACGGUCCAGACUCCUACGGGAGGCAGCAGUGGGGAAUAUUGCACAAUGGGCGCAAGCCUGAUGCAGCGACGCCGCGUGAGGGAUGGAGGCCUUCGGGUUGUGAACCUCUUUCGCUCAUGGUCAAGCCGCAACAAUGGUUGUGGUGAGGGUAGUGGGUAAAGAAGCGCCGGCUAACUACGUG
RNAcentral lists this ribosomal RNA (483 nucleotides) under uncultured bacterium. Its description in RNAcentral is "partial 16S ribosomal RNA". It matches the Rfam family "Bacterial small subunit ribosomal RNA", at positions 28 to 507 of the family's 1533-position model. The record is from RNAcentral.